RNAcentral lists this transfer RNA (75 nucleotides) under Chloroflexota bacterium. RNAcentral describes it as "Chloroflexi bacterium (hot springs metagenome) tRNA-Glu". It matches the Rfam family "tRNA". From Rfam's summary of the family: Transfer RNA (tRNA) molecules are approximately 80 nucleotides in length. Their secondary structure includes four short double-helical elements and three loops (D, anti-codon, and T loops). The record is from RNAcentral. Lineage: Bacteria; Bacillati; Chloroflexota.
GGCCCCAUCGUCUAAUCCGGUUCAGGAUACCGCCCUCUCAAGGCGGAGAUGCGGGUUCAAAUCCCGCUGGGGCCA